This is a long non-coding RNA of Stylophora pistillata, 598 nucleotides long. RefSeq lists it as uncharacterized. Lineage: Eukaryota; Metazoa; Cnidaria; Anthozoa; Scleractinia; Pocilloporidae. The record is from RefSeq and is a predicted model, not a curated record.
AAACUGAAAUUUGGUUAACCAAGCUAUGGCCGAUAGAAAGAGACACGCGCGGGAUGAAAAUGAAAAAGAGGAUUGCGCCAGUUCAAAGCGGCCAAGAUUUUAUCCGCUGAAACGAAACCUUUUCAUGCUGUACGGCAAAAACCCUGCUUCAAAUAAGAAUAUUGCAGUGGUUGAGCAAAACUCAUUAUUGAAAUAAUGAGUUUUGCUCAAUCAAUCUGGGGUAGAAAAAAUUGUUCGAAGAUGAAGCAUUCAACACACAUCUGGUCAAAAUUGGUGGAGAGACGCAUUUAAGAUUAUCAUCCGUGGAAAUUCUUCCUAUUCAUCUUUUGGUUAAUUUCCUUUUUUGCUUCAUUUUGUGAUCCCCUUUAAUUUUUUGCAGUUUUCCUCAAAUGUAUCCGAUAUGAUAUAUUUCAUCAGGAAAUAAUUCACUAUGGAAGCUGUUAGUCUAGGAAUGUUCUUUCAUUUUAAUGUAGUGUUUAAUCGAAAGGAAAAACAUUUGCCAGCAGAAGUAACGAUCCCCAAUAUUUAAGAGGUAAUUGUAUAAGAUCAAGGAAAAUAUGUAAUUCUCCGAAAUGUUAAUUUGUUGUCCGAAAAUACU